GGGGGUGCAGAGUGGCCCUAGAGGGUCGCGACCCAGGGAGUUCACGGCGCGCGCAAGGAAAACUUUCCACCAAACCAAACCAGAUCACCUUCCUUCUUCCUAUUUCCUUUCUUUGUUUCCUCUUUGUUUUGGUGCACUUUCCUUUUUUUUAUUUCUUUCUAUCUUGUUUUGGACAGGGAGGGGGCGAUCGGAGGGGUGGUAUGCAGCGGCGUGGUGGUCUAGUGGUGACCAAGGUGGGUAUUCGCGUGAGGGGGACGGUGUGCGAACAGUGGAACGACAGCGGCAAAAGUAGGGUUAGGAGAACAAAGACAAAAACAAUGGAUUAAACACAAGUGACUAGCAACAACUGAACAAGUAAGCACACAAAUUCAACACAGAUUAUUGAAAGAAUGUGCAAGGCUAAACGGUUGCUGGGACAAGGAUGUAACGUGAAAAAUUAUUAUUAUUAUUUGUGUUGGUUUUUGUGGACUGUAGGAAGGGAAAUACACUCGAUAAAACUCACCGGU
RNAcentral lists this long non-coding RNA (506 nucleotides) under Sorghum bicolor (sorghum). RNAcentral describes it as "long non-coding RNA (SBIC_LNC004824)". Lineage: Eukaryota; Viridiplantae; Streptophyta; Magnoliopsida; Poales; Poaceae. The record is from RNAcentral.